Molecule: ribosomal RNA, 254 nt
Filed under: uncultured bacterium
Lineage: Bacteria
Description: partial 16S ribosomal RNA
Rfam family: Bacterial small subunit ribosomal RNA
Source: RNAcentral
UACGGAGGGUGCGAGCGUUGUCCGGAAUCAUUGGGCGUAAAGGGCGCGUAGGUGGCCCGGUCAGUUCGUGGUGAAAGCGCGGGGCUCAACCCUGCGUCGGCCAUGAAUACUGCCGCGGCUGGGGCACUGUAGAGGCAGGCGGAAUUCCGGGUGUAGCGGUGGAAUGCGUAGAGAUCCGGAAGAACACCGGUGGCGAAGGCGGCCUGCUGGGCAGUUGCUGACACUGAGGCGCGACAGCGUGGGGAGCAAACAGG